RNAcentral lists this ribosomal RNA (1426 nucleotides) under Chortoglyphus sciuricola. Its description in RNAcentral is "eukaryotic LSU rRNA". It matches the Rfam family "Eukaryotic large subunit ribosomal RNA", at positions 104 to 1269 of the family's 3401-position model. The record is from RNAcentral. Lineage: Eukaryota; Metazoa; Arthropoda; Arachnida; Sarcoptiformes; Chortoglyphidae.
AGCCCAGCGCCAAGUCCUGACACUUGACGUGUUCAGGAGAUGCGGCGUUAGUGUAGUGGUGCAUCGCACGCUGCUUCGUGUCUCAAGUUCCUUUGACAGGGACUCCCAGAGUGGGUGCUAGGCCCAUAGAGGCUGCGGAGCUGGCGUGCGCAAACCAUUGCAUUCUAGAGUCAGGUUGCUUGAGAGUGCAGCCUAAAGCAGGUGGUAAACUCCAUCUAAGGCUAAAUAUUACAGCGAGACCGAUAGCAAACAAGUACUGUGAAGGAAAGUUGCAAAGAACUUUGAAGAGAGAGUUCAAUAGGACGUGAAACCACGGACAGGCAAACGGGUGGAACCACGAAGUGUGCUCCGCUAGACGAUUCAAUUGUUGCCGUCGGUUGGCGGUUAGCGUGCGGGGCGCGUUUCUGCGUCUCGCCGCGCGCCGUCUACAAUCGGCGGCCGACGAUGCAUUUCGUUCUGGCGGUGCGAAAGCCACGUCCGAUUAGGUGGCUGGAGCGGCCGUAGUGUGUCGGUUCGAGGAAGGUGGCCGUCGUCGUGGCUUGUCCACGUGCGGCGGUGUUAUAGCCUCGAAUUCGUGCCGCUGCCUAGCGUGCUGAUCGGUGCAAUAUCUCCGCGUACGGAGUUUUGCCAGUAACGGGCCGGUGCGCUUGUGGCGUCGUUGCGUUCGCGUCGGUUUGUUCUUUCGCGCCCUUGUGGUGCGUAAAGGCUGGCCGGCGUCGAACGUAUUCGGGCGUCACUGUGCGUGAUUCGGUUUGCGCAAACGGUGGUGCGAGUAGGUCGGUCUCCACCCGACCCGUCUUGAAACACGGACCAAGGAGCCUACCAUAUACGCGAGUCGCUCGGUCUUGAAUAGGCCCGGGAGGCGCAAUGAAAGUAACUGGCUACGAGGCUGCUUUCGCAGUCGCAGUAGCGGCCCACCUGCUUUCUUUAUCGGGAAUAUGGUGGCGUCGGAGCGUAUACGGUGGUACCCGAAAGAUGGUGAACUAUGCCUGGGCAAGACGAAGCCAGAGGAAACUCUGGUGGAGGUCUGUAGCGAUUCUGACGUGCAAAUCGAUCGUCAGACCUGGGUAUAGGGGCGAAAGACUAAUCGAACCAUCUAGUAGCUGGUUCCCUCCGAAGUUUCCCUCAGGAUAGCAGGCGCUUGUGUGAUCAGUCUCAUCCGGUAAAGCUAAUGAUUAGAGGUCUUGGGGCCGAAACGGCCUCAACCUAUUCUCAAACUUUAAAUGGGUGAGAUGCUUGACUUGCUUGAUUUUGAAGCCAAGCAAUUGGAUGUGAGUGCCUAGUGGGCCAGCUUUGGUAAGCAGAACUGGCGCUGUGGGAUGAACCAAACGUCGAGUUAAGGCAUCAAAUGCGUACGCUCAUGAGACCCCAUGAAAGGUGUUGGUUGCUAUAGACAGCAGGACGGUGGCCAUGGAAGUCGGAAUCC